Molecule: microRNA precursor, 96 nt
Filed under: Nomascus leucogenys (northern white-cheeked gibbon)
Lineage: Eukaryota; Metazoa; Chordata; Mammalia; Primates; Hylobatidae
Description: mir-544 microRNA precursor family
Rfam family: mir-544 microRNA precursor family
Source: Rfam by way of RNAcentral
UUCACCUGGGGAUCUUGUUAAAAUGCAGAUUGUAAUUCAGGAGGGCUGGCCUGUCCUGGGAUUCUGCAUUUCUAACAAGUUCCCAGGCAAUGCAGA